CUCUAGCAGGAAAAGUUCGUGCUUUAAGAGGUAAUGGGAUGACACUGUGGGAGAGUAUCUGCAGCUACCUGAACCUCUGCCAGCCUGAGCUAAGGAAGGACACACCUCCAGAGCCCAAUACUGCCAUUCAGGCCUCCCUCCCAACAGUUCAUAACCGUGUCAUGCGCUCUGCAUGUCCGCGGUUUGCUAGCAGGACAGUGAACCAGCGCAAGGAAUGAUUUGCCUUCUAAGUUAAAAAUGCUUUAAGAAUUUAAACCAUAUAUUGGGAAAGGGUAAAUGAGACUUACUGUAUUUCUUAAAGUGGAGUUUUCUUCUUUUUGCCACUGGACACUGCUGAAUGCUGAAAUGUCACCAGUCAAUUAUAUCUGUCAUACUUAGGUACAAACUGACGUGAGUGUGGACACAAAGCAUCAGACACUACAAGGAGUAGCAUUUCCUAUUUCUCGAGAUGCCUUCCAGGCUUUGGAAAAACUGAGUAAGAGACAGCUCAACUAUGUGCAGUUGGAAAUAGAUAUAAAAAAUGAAACAAUAAUUUUGGCCAACACAGAAAAUACAGAACUAAAAGAUUUGCCAAAGAGGAUUCCCAAGGAUUCAGCACGCUACCAUUUCUUUCUGUAUAAGCAUUCCCACGAAGGAGACUACUUAGAGUCCAUAGUUUUUAUUUAUUCAAUGCCCGGAUACACAUGCAGCAUAAGAGAGCGGAUGCUGUAUUCCAGCUGCAAGAGCCCUCUGUUAGAUAUUGUAGAAAGACAACUGCAGAUGGAUGUGAUCAGAAAGAGCCAUAACUCAGAAGUUUGGAAGCGGACUGACGUGUCCGGGAUUUGGAAGACCUUGACCUGAACCUCAUGCUGCCUGAGAUGGUGUCAGUAACGUACAUUUCAUGGAAUGAACUAUGAAGCACCCAUUGCAGAGCCUUAUUACCUAAGGUAAUACAUGCGCCUUUCAGAAAUUCAGUGUGGACUCACCUAGAUCACAGAGGAAUUACGAGCUGAUGGAAGUUUUUAAAAAUAGAUUUGUGUGUUUUGUUUGUUUACAAAUACGUAGACUUUACUACUUAAAUAUGCAGGAGAGUUGACAGUAAUGUUGCUCUUGUUUACGAGAGGUAAACUUUUUAGUCGUGCGUGUGUACACGUCAUCACACGUGCCCAUAGAGUGCUGCAGCGAGAGACCUGGAGCUGUGACGCAGACCUUCCAGAGCUGCCGUUUCAAGCAGAGGGGGUGCUUUGCGUCCUGGGUCCAGACCCGGUGGGGACUGUUCUGAAGCAGUGUGUGCAAUGAUGCGCUGAAGCCUGUCACACUACAGCGGUCACUGACAUUCCACAGAGAUGUGACCUUGUAACCUACUAAUAAUCAAACCAAUGAUUGCUGAGAAUCACGUAUGCAUUUGUCUUAGGGAAUAACCCAUUGUUUACAGUAUGUUUUAGGUGACAAUAGAUGUGAAUAACAUUCCCAAUAAAUUUAUAUAGCAGUGAAAAAUGACAUGUCUUCUGUGGACAUUUUAUAAGUGCAUUUUAUAUCAAUAAAAUUUUUCUCUUUGAGUU
This 1541-nucleotide long non-coding RNA is filed under the name Rattus norvegicus (Norway rat). RNAcentral describes it as "long non-coding RNA NONRATT027271". The record is from RNAcentral. Lineage: Eukaryota; Metazoa; Chordata; Mammalia; Rodentia; Muridae.